RNAcentral lists this ribosomal RNA (510 nucleotides) under uncultured Eubacteriales bacterium. Its description in RNAcentral is "bacterial SSU rRNA". It matches the Rfam family "Bacterial small subunit ribosomal RNA", at positions 1 to 507 of the family's 1533-position model. The record is from RNAcentral. Lineage: Bacteria; Bacillati; Bacillota; Clostridia; Eubacteriales.
GUAGUCGUCACGAGAGUUUGGUAUCCUGGCGUCAGGACAACGCUGCGGCGUGCCUAACACAUGCAAAGUCGAACGAAGCUUGAAAUUCAGAUUUCUUCGGAAUGAAGAAUGAUAUGACUGAGUGGCGACGGGUGAGUAACGCGUGAGCAACCUGCCCUUCGAGGGGGAUAGUGUCUGAAACGGACAGUAAUACCGCAUAACGAUUUUUACCGCAUGAUAGAAAUACCAAAACUGAGGUGCCGAAGGAUGGGCUCGCGUUGGAUUAGAUAGUUGUGGGGUAACGGCUACCAAGUCAACGAUCCAUAGCCGGAUUGAGAGGUUGAACGGCCACAUUGGGACUGAGACACGGCCCAGACUCCUACGGGAGGCAGCAGUGGGGAAUAUUGCACAAUGGGGGAAACCCUGAUGCAGCAACGCCGCGUGAAGGAAGACGGUUUUCGGAUUGUAAACUUCUGUUCUUAGUGAAGAAAAAUGACGGUAGCUAAGGAGCAAGCCACGGCUAACUACGUG